RNAcentral lists this unclassified non-coding RNA (620 nucleotides) under Zea mays. RNAcentral describes it as "misc RNA Zm00001eb326770". Lineage: Eukaryota; Viridiplantae; Streptophyta; Magnoliopsida; Poales; Poaceae. The record is from RNAcentral.
UGGGCGUUCACUUUUUUUGGUGAAGCACGCCACGCCCCCGCCCAACAUCAUCAGCGUUCGUGUCCUCUGUCUCCCGCAAUCCCCGCCCGGCCAUCCCACGCUCGCGCCAUCGAUGGCUCUCCUCCUCGCCUCGCGUCCGCCACCUCCUCCUCGCCCCACAUAUGGUGCGUCCGCCACCUCCUCCUCGCCCCGCUUGCUGCUAUCUGGGGAGAUCUCCUCGUCCCACAUGCGGCGCGUCCGCAGUCCACGAAAGGUCUGCACCUCCUCCCGUGCCGUUAAUGGAAGGUCUGCCACCUCCUCCCGCGCCCGCGCCGUCAAUGGAAGGUCCGCCACCUCCUCCCGCGCCCACGUCGUCAAUGGAAGAUGUUUACGUGCAUCUGUUAGAUCCGGGGCAAGAGGACGGUGAAAGACUUGGACCUUGUCGGCGAGCGCAACCGCUAAUCUUAAACUAAUUAGCAAGUGUGGAAAUAAAGGUACACAGUAGUGAUUAUCUGAGAUUUAUAUGAACUUUUGAUGUAUUUUUUCUUUUUUGUUUGCCUUCAUCUAAAUUUCUAUAGUACAAUAGAAAAAUGAUCAUUAUCAUCAGAAUAUUAUAGCGGUAGCACACAACGAAGGUAAAC